This 1251-nucleotide ribosomal RNA is filed under the name uncultured Alcaligenes sp. Its description in RNAcentral is "bacterial SSU rRNA". It matches the Rfam family "Bacterial small subunit ribosomal RNA", at positions 253 to 1501 of the family's 1533-position model. The record is from RNAcentral. Lineage: Bacteria; Pseudomonadati; Pseudomonadota; Betaproteobacteria; Burkholderiales; Alcaligenaceae.
UGUGAGUAAUGGCUCACCAAGGCUGCGAUCCGUAGCUGGUUUGAGAGGACGACCAGCCACACUGGGACUGAGACACGGCCCAGACUCUACGGGAGGCAGCAGUGGGGAAUUUUGGACAAUGGGGGCAACCCUGAUCCAGCCAUCCCGCGUGUGCGAUGAAGGCCUUCGGGUUGUAAAGCACUUUUGGCAGGGAAGAAAGGGCGCUGGUUAAUACCUGGCGUUGAUGACGGUACCUGCAGAAUAAGCACCGGCUAACUACGUGCCAGCAGCCGCGGUAAUACGUAGGGUGCAAGCGUUAAUCGGAAUUACUGGGCGUAAAGGGUGCGUCGGCGGUUUGGCAAGAAAGGUGUGAAAUCCCAGGGCUUAACCUUGGAACUGCACUUUUAACUGCCAGGCUAGAGUACGUCAGAGGGGGGUAGAAUUCCAUGUGUAGCAGUGAAAUGCGUAGAGAUGUGGAGGAAUACCGAUGGCGAAGGCAGCCCCCUGGGAUGAUACUGACGCUCAGGCACGAAAGCGUGGGGAGCAAACAGGAUUACGAUACCCUGGUAGUCCACGCCCUAAACGAUGUCAACUAGCUGUUGGGGCCGUUAGGCUUUAGUAGCGCAGCUAACGCGUGAAGUUGACCGCCUGGGGAGUACGGUCGCAAGAUUAAAACUCAAAGGAAUUGACGGGGACCCGCACAAGCGGUGGAUGAUGUGGAUUAAUUCGAUGCAACGCGAAAAACCUUACCUACCCUUGACAUGUCUGGAAGCUCGAAGAGAUUUGAGUGUGCUCGCAAGAGAACCGGAACACAGGUGCUGCAUGGCUGUCGUCAGCUCGUGUCGUGAGAUGUUGGGUUAAGUCCCGCAACGAGCGCAACCCUUGUCACUAGUUGCUACGCAAGGGCACUCUAGUGAGACUGCCGGUGACAAACCGGAGGAAGGUGGGGAUGACGUCAAGUCCUCAUGGCCCUUAUGGGUAGGGCUUCACACGUCAUACAAUGGUCGGGACAGAGGGUUGCCAACCCGCGAGGGGGAGCCAAUCUCAGAAACCCGAUCGUAGUCCGGAUUGCAGGCUGCAACUCGCCUGCAUGAAGUCGGAAUCGCUAGUAAUCGCGGAUCAGCAUGUCGCGGUGAAUACGUUCCCGGGUCUUGUACACACCGCCCGUCACACCAUGGGAGUGGGUUUCACCAGAAGUAGGUAGCCUAACCGUAAGGGGGGCGCUUACCACGGUGGGAUUCAUGACUGGGGUGAAGUCGUAACAAGGUAACC